This 226-nucleotide long non-coding RNA is filed under the name Fukomys damarensis (Damara mole-rat). RNAcentral describes it as "lncRNA (ENSFDAG00000033326.1)". Lineage: Eukaryota; Metazoa; Chordata; Mammalia; Rodentia; Bathyergidae. The record is from RNAcentral.
AUUGUCGUUGGGCUUAGAUGAGGUUCAUUUUACUUCUUGCUUGUUUUGUUUCAAAAGUUACUUAUAAAAGAGAAGGAAGUUGAGAAGGAAAAAGAACAAGAGGAAUGUUUUUCCACUUCCGUCUGUGUUGCCAUCUAAUCUGCAUCCCAGGAUUCUCCUGGAUACGGCCACUUGCAGCUGUUAUACACUCCUGAGAGUCCAUUGUUACCCUGGAAAUGUUUGGUUC